AUCAACUUUCGAUGGUAGGAUAGAGGCCUACCAUGGUGGUAACGGGUAACGGGGUGUUAGGGCACGACACCGGAGAGGGAGCCUGAGAAACGGCUACCACAUCCAAGGAUGGCAGCAGGCGCGCAAAUUACCCAAUCCCGACACGGGGAGGUAGUGACAAUAAAUAACAAUACGGGGUCCUUUGGGUCUCGUAAUUGGAAUGAGUACAAUUUAAAUCUCUUAACGAGGAACAAUUGGAGGGCAAGUCUGGUGCCAGCAGCCGCGGUAAUUCCAGCUCCAAUAGCGUAUAUUAAAGUUGUUGCAGUUAAAAAGCUCGUAGUUGAAUUUCGGGGUCGGUAGGUUGGUCAUGCCAUCGGUAUGCACUGGUCUCACCGAUUCCUCCCUCUUGUAGAAGCGUAAUGCCAUUAAGUUGGUGUUGCGGGGAAACAGGACUGUUACUUUGAAAAAAUUAGAGCGUUUAAAGCAGGCUAACGCUUGAAUACAUUAGCAUGGAAUAAUGAAAUAGGACGUCGAUCCUAUUUUGUUGGUUUCUAGGAUUGACGUAAUGAUUAAUAGGGAUAGUUGGGGGCAUUAGUAUUCAAUUGUCAGAGGUGAAAUUCUUGGAUUUAUUGAAGACUAACUACUGCGAAAGCAUUUGCCAAGGAUGUUUUCAUUAAUCAAGAACGAAAGUUAGGGGAUCGAAGACGAUCAGAUACCGUCGUAGUCUUAACCAUAAACUAUGCCGACUAGGGAUCGGAUGAUGUUAAUUUUUUAAUGACUCAUUCGGCGCCUUACGGGAAACCAAAGUGUUUGGGUUC
This 797-nucleotide ribosomal RNA is filed under the name uncultured Glomeromycotina. RNAcentral's name for it is "SSU rRNA". It matches the Rfam family "Eukaryotic small subunit ribosomal RNA", at positions 314 to 1114 of the family's 1831-position model. The record is from RNAcentral. Lineage: Eukaryota; Fungi; Glomeromycota.